AGCGAACGCUGGCGGCAGGCCUAACACAUGCAAGUCGAACGAACUCUUCGGAGGUAGUGGCGGACGGGGGAGUAACACGUGGGAACGUGCCUUUUGGUUCGGAAUAACUCAGGGAAACGUGUGCUAAUACCGAGUGUGCCCUUCGGGGGAAAGAUUUGUCGCCAUUAGAGCGGCCCGCGUCUGAUUAGCUAGUUGGUGAGGUAACGGCGGACCAAGGCGACGAUAAGUAGCUGGGCAGAGAGGAUGACCAGCCACACUGAGGCGCAGACGCGGCGCAGAAUACUACGCGAGGCAGGAGUGGCGAAUCCUGCGAAAUGGGCGAAAGCAAGACGCCCCCAGGCUGGGUGAAUGAUGAAGGUCUUAGGAUAGUGAAAUUCUUUCAUCGGCGACGAUACUGACGGUACCCGGAGAAGAAGCCCCGGCUAACUUCGUG
Molecule: ribosomal RNA, 433 nt
Filed under: uncultured bacterium
Lineage: Bacteria
Description: partial 16S ribosomal RNA
Rfam family: Bacterial small subunit ribosomal RNA
Source: RNAcentral